GGCAGCUCAGAUCUUCCUCUGCUGCCGUCCGAGGGGGACAUCCUGAGCCUAGCGCUCCACCUGUCUCGGGCACCCUGCGCGCAGCCGCCCAGGGGUCACCGCUGGGGGCCCGCAGAUCUCGCCAAGUCAGCCCGGGUGGGGCCCUGGGCGCCGGAAACCCGGGAUCUCCACUCCAGGGCCUUUUCUCUCUCUCUCUCUCUCUCUCUCUCUCUCUCUCUCUCUCUCUCUCUCUCUCUCUCUCUCAGCGGAGAGUUGGAAAAACCCCUCUCCUGACCCCAAGAAGAGAGAUCUCGGAUUUGAGGACUCCUAUUCACCGUUCAGGUCACACCCUGUGACCUCCUGGCCCUUUGCACCCAGGCGCCGCUCCGGAGGCUUCCCGGUAGUCGCCGAGCCUGCUGGGGAGGUCGGGGGCCAAGGCCACUCCACCGCCGCCGAAAGUCCACCUGCCACCCGGGCCACCGCCACUACUGAAUCUGGGUAGCCAAAGAUAAAUCGGGUUCUGAGGGCCUGUAACAGAACAGGUGACCUGUAACAGAACAGGAUCGUGAGAAGGGACGGUGGGCGAGGCCGCAGGGUCGAGGGGUAGGUGUCGCCGGCCGCCCCCGGCGGGUAGAAACGUGCACCUGGGUCCCUACGCGAGGUCCCCAGCGACUGAAUCCGAGUCGUCCCCUCCUCCCCGCUCCAGAACCUGCCAACUAGAACGACGUCGCCUCCUGCAGGGCAGGGCUAAGCCAGCGCGUGGGUGGCGAGCGCCUCCGCCCUUGCCCGGGAUGCCCGGAGCAGGAGGCUCACCAGCCCAGGCCAGGUUCCCCGUUUGGUGAAGAAGGCGAGGCCGGUCUUCCGAGUUUACUUCCAACUCCUAGAUCCUUCCUCUCCUUCCCCCACCCCGCCGGGGACCCCAGGGUCCCUCCCUUGGCCAGCCCCCGCACCCUGAACCCCGUUCCUACCUCCCACGGCCCUGAUGUCCGCGCCCACGGCAGCUGCGCUUUUCCGGAGCAGGAGCCGGAGCUGCGCUGGCGACUCCGCGCGGGGCUUGCUGUGCGCCAAGGAGGGAUUCGCCGGGGACUGCCCGGAGGUGGGGUGAUGCUCCGCACCCCAAGGCUGGCCCCGAGGCUCAGGCGGACGGGCCGGAGAGGGACAGCCGCGCCCCUCGCCAGCCGCGGGACCGGCCCACCUCUGCCGCGGGGCUGCUGCGCCCCACAGGCCGUGCGGUCCUCCAGGCGGCUGGCCGCUCGCCCUCCUGGGCUCCUCUCCGCUGCCGCUGCCGCCGCCACCCUGCUGGUUCAGGUGCGGCCCUGGCCGCCAGUGUGUCCCCCCCGCAUCUCACCCCCUGCUCCGGGUGGGUCCUGGCUCGCCUCCGCGCAGCUGCACCCCUUACCCCGGCGUUACACAGUAACUGUCCCCUUCGCGGAGACCCCCUCAGCGCCAGGACCUGCAGAACGGGCCAGCCGCCGGCGGACACGCAGGACCGCGGCACCCACAACCCAGGGCCCCCAAGCUCCUCGCCACAGCACGCGGCACACCGUCCUCCAUCCUGUCUUAAGAGACUGGCCGUAGAGCACCGGGAGACGCCAGUCAGGGCCCAGCCGCCGGCACCCGCAGCAACCUUGCAAAGGUUGAUUUUAGCGUGGGAGGUGCCAGAGGGCAGCUCCCUCCUCUCCUCCUGCUAAACUGGGAAAGUGCAAACCAUCCUGAGAAGGCAGAAGAGGAAGGGAGGAGGCAGAAGGGACCCAGCCACGGGAAGGGCGCAGGAAAGCUCUGCUCCCGCUUGCCCUUAAGGCUCCCCUCGCCAGGUCUGCACGCGACUCCUCCCCACCUGCACACCCCGCUUUCCAGAGGAGGAAAGUUCCAUCAACGUCCGGGGUCCCAGCUGCAGAACCGAGCCUUGGCCGGGCCCUCGGACUCUGGUGGGCAGCUGAGGAAACCCAGUCCUCCCCCAGCAGUUUCCAUCGCUGCACGCGCUGGCUUCCACAGCUCGCCCCACAGGUGGCCAGAGCUGCUCGGGUCCCCAGUGGGCCUGUCACCAGCAGGGAUGGUUUGUAAGACGUGGGAGUGAAAAGGUUUCUGGUUGAGUUGAGGUUCCCCCAAGGACCCUGGACCAGCACUCAGAUGAACUAACCUACUUCUGUAAGAAGAAAAUUUUCCACCGACUCCUUCAAGUUUCCAUUGUGAGUAGACUGUUUAAAGACAACGGACUGUUUCCACCAGCAAAGCAGAGUAAUGAGAGAGUGAGAAGAGGAAGGAAGGAGAGGAAGAGGGAGGGAGGGAGGAAGACAGGGACAGAAGGAAGACUGAGGGAGGAAGGGAAGGAAACGAAGGAAAGGGAGGAACUUUUGGCUCAGUGUUUUUGUGAGCUUCAACUGACAGGUCUCAGGACAUCCUCCAAAGAGUUGAGACCCAUUUGGUUGGGGAAAUUGGUAGUUAGCAAUUGUUGGAAAGGAACAGGCUCUCUAAGCAUCCACAAAAUUCAUGUUUUAAGUGAGGUGUGUUCUGGAAGACAGGGCAGGGUGGACGUUGCUUAAAUCCUGUUGCCCCCAACAGGUGGUGGGAAGGAUACAACAGGCAUCUGGCAGAGCAGCACAGCCCAGGAGCCAGCAAGCCUGCAGAAAGACAGCCUCAAUCAUGACAAGGGACAUGCUGGCUCACACAGGACAUGCCCAUGCUUAUCUGCCAGGUUAGCAGAGCUGAACAGACCGACCAAGCCAGUACUACAAAGCCUGAGGGGAAUGCACAUGGGCCUGCAGCUGGCGUGGGCAUGUCCCCACCAGCACUGUGGAAAUGUCCAGAGCUUUGGAGCUGAAGAGAAGCUCUUUGAAAUGAGUCCUGCCUUCCAAGGUGACAGACUUCUCAGAACACCCCUUCUCCAGGUUGACAGCCAAGGGCAAGUCUUGUCCUUGACUCUAAUCAACAUGUACAGGGGGCUCGUGGUAGUGUUAUAAUGGCAAAAAUCAGAAGCAGCCUAAAGGCCAGCUGCAGAGAAAUGGCUAAGCAGUGGCACUGUCAUGGACCUUAUUGCUCUGUAAGCCCCCAAAAUAUAAAAGAUGAUGUACGCCUUUGCUCAUAUUUUUAAAUUUAUUGUGGUAAAUUACACAAAACAUAAAAGUCACUGAACCAUUUUUCAGAGGACAGUUCAGUGGCAUUUGCAUGUGCUCUGUUGUGUCACCAGCACUACCUCCAUCUCCAGAACUCUCCAUCUUGCACCACCAAAACUACCAGUGGAGUGUGGUUCCCCAUUCCCCUCCCACCCACCCUUCUGCUUUCUGUUUCUGUGACCUUGACUGCAUGGGCACCUCUUGUGUCUUCUGGCUGGCUGAUUUCACUCAGCACAAUGUCCUCAAGGCUGUUCUACUUUCUUUGUAGCAUCUGUCAGUUUCCUGCCUCUUAAGGCUGAGUCAUGUCCCAUUGUGUGUAGAGGCCACAUCUUGCUUAUCCACUCAUCUGUUAAUGGACACUUGGACUGUGCCCUCAGUUUAUCUGUUGUGAAUAAUAUUACUACAAGAUGGGUACACUUCUUUGUGAUGACCUGCACAGCCAAACCCUAAAAACCAGCAAGGGACAAUGAGGAAUUAAGAAAGACACACAAACACAGAGACAAAUCUGGGACCCAGUGGGAUACUCACCUCAGAUGAAGGAGCAGUGGCCCAGAACUAGCUCAGCAUUUUUGUUAUAUAUAGGAUCUCCCACAAUCAAGAAGUUAGAGCACAUUGUUGUUUGUUCACUAAAAAGUUACAGAACUAGAAACAUUUUUUGUAGCUAUUCUACUGUUGCAGUGCUGGGAACAUCCUGUUAUUACCCUGCUGAGCCCAAAACGCACAUUGUCCAGAGUUUCUGCAGAGCAGGCAGGCUUGAAGUUUGCAGCACUUGCAAGAUACCAUGGUUAUCUUCUUAUGCUCAGAAUUAUCUAUCUCCUGCAGCUGGCCUCUGGGCUCAAGGUCAAGACAGUUAUUCUGUACCUUUGCACAGAAGUUCCUCAGUAGGGCAUUACCAUAGCUCCUGGGCAAUCUCAUGCUGCACCUUUACACAGGAAGUUCCCAGAGCGAAGCACAGCCACAGCUCUGAGGAAGUCAAAGACCAAGAUCUAAGUCACUGCUCUCCACACUUCUUCACUUUUAUUUAUUUUUCAAUUCAUUUCAUUUUUUUUUUUGGGGGGGUGGUGUACUGGGGAUUGAGUCCAGGGCCUUGUACAUGCUAGGCAAGGGCUCUACCACUGAGCUACAGCCCCAGCCUCUUUCACUCAUUUUUAGCUUGACAUUAAAGAUGUUUCAUCAUUGUAAAAAGGAUAAUUUCCAAUAUAGAUAUUUAUUUUUAAAUUCAAACCUUUAUAUCAUCCUUUUUAAUUAUUUCAAAUGCCAUGUAAAUAAUAUACCAAUUCUAUUUCAACCAUCACCCAUUUUUAAAAUAUAAAAACAAGUUCUUCUUUAACAAAUUUUUUAUUACUUUUGUUUCCUCCUUGAAUUGAUGAGUUCUAUCCUGCCUCCUCCAUACAUUUGAGAUCUUCUGAUGACACUUCUCUGCACAAAAAGUAUGUAAAUUUUAAUUUCCUGUUACCAUAAUUUCUAAGUGUUAAAAACACAUUUAGUGUCUUCAUUACAACCAUUUGUAGUGCAUGAUUAUUCAAAAUAAAAAUAAAUUAUAAAUCUUGAAAAUCAUCAGGCAUAAAAUGUAACCUCUCAUGAUAUCAUAUUAAGAUUAUGCAAGAUGUGAUCAUUGGGGGAUACAAGGUAGAGGUACAAGAUCUCUCUGUAUUCUUUUUUUUUAAAAUUUAAAAAAUUUUAGUAUUGGGGAUUUUACUCAGGGGCACUUUACAUCCCAGCCUUUUUUUUUUUUUUUGAAACAGAGUCUUGCUAGGUUGCUGAGGCUGGCUUGAACCUGGAAUCCUCCUGCCUUGACCUCCUGAGACACUGGGAUUACAGGCCUGCACCACGGUACCCUUUUAUUUUUUUAUAACUGUGUAUCAGUCCUCGAUUACCUCAGAAUAAGAAAGUUUUGUCUUAAAAAUAGCUUUCCAGGAGGGGACCUCAGCUCUUAAUGAAAUAGGGCCCAGUUAGUUCAUGAAGCCAUAGGAAAAUAUCACUUAUUCUAGAAUGAGACAGAAUCUGGAAUCACGCAUUUUCCCUUUUUGUCAUGUGAUGUAAGCACUGAGAAAUCUGGUUUCCAUAAAGAAAUAUGUGUUUUAUUACAACAGAGUCACCAAUCUGUUAGCUGUUCCAUUUUUUGAAAUGGCAAUACCAAUGCUCUGCCAAUUGCUGUACUGUUUUGCUGGGCUGCUAUAACAAAGUACCCCAAGUCAGGUGGCUUAAACAACAGAAAUGCAUUGCCCCCAGUUCUGGAUGACAGAAGGUUGGGAUCAGGGGAUGAGGGGUGAGCUUGCCCUGGGAUUGUGAGAAGGCUCUGGUGCUGGUGAGCCGCUGGCCUCUGGCACUCCUGGCUGUAGAGACCUGGCCCAGUCCUGCGCUGUUUCCAGAGGGCUUCUCCCAGUGUGUCUGCAUCCAGAUUCCUCCUCUCCACAAGGACGCCAGUUAGGUUGGGUUAGGGCCUGUCCUAGUGACCGCCUGUGGGCUUGAUAACCUGUCCUCUACUGGAGGUUAAGAUGGGGAUUUAGGAUAAAGAGAGACAAAUACCAAAUCUGAAAGGAACUGCCCACAGCGGUUGAGAUGCAGACUGCGCAGUUGUAACCCUGAGCAGGAAGCUGGGCCCAAGCUCUUAUAAAAUGAGGGAAACACCAAGCUCCAAGUUGGGCAGCUCCACCUGGCUCCCCGGGAGCCUGGGCCCCACACAGCCCUUCUGUAAACACAGCCCCAGCCCAGGGCAGGGCUGCUCACUCUGAGAAGGCCGGAGUCCCCCUUGGUGUGCACCACCUCCUGGAAAAGCCUCUGUCUGCCUCCUGCUGAACUUCUCUUCCACCAUGUAUGUCAAGGGCCUUGCUGGUCUGAGCCGAGUCCCUCUCCUCUGAGAAUCCCUGGGACCCUCUCCAGAGACCCUCUCUCCUGUGGCAAGGUCACAUCCUGAGGUGCUGGGGGCAGCACUCAGUGAACUCAGGGACACAGUUCCAUGUCAGUUCCAGCCCCAACGGGGCUUCGUUUAGCUUUGUGGAAAACGAAAACUUGGUCACUGCUGGCCUGCAUGUGGCUUAUUACCGCCUCCAGAGCCACUUCCUGUCCUGUUUCCUGGAUGCUUACUGGAUGGGGCUUCCCCAGAGCCUACCACAUAGGGGUCAGUGAUACUGUCCUUUCACCUAAAUGCCUAAAGUGUUGAGCUCAGCAGCUGUUGGGGGAACUAGGAAUAUUUUAAAUUGAAUUUCGAAUCAAAUUUCAACACACACAACAUUUGGAUAAAAUGCUCUUAUUGUAUCAUAGGUUUAAACUUUAUUUUCAUGAAAAUCUUGAAGCUCAAGAUUUAGCUCAUUUGACUGCCUGACUUCACUAGAAAAGCCAGUCCUCCAUGUCCAACAGAUCAGCAAGUCAGACUGACUUUCUGCUGAAAAAGAAGCUUGGCUCCUCUUACAGUCCAAUGGACGUGUGGUUGUACAGCCCCCAAAGAUGCCUCACCUCUGAAAUGUAGGUCUGAGGUGGAGAGCGGUGGACAGCUGUGGAGAGCGGGUGGAGAACGCGUGGAGAGCAGGUGGAGAACGCGUGGAGAACAGGUGGAGAACGCGUGGAGAGUGGGUGGAGAGCAUAGAGAGGGUAGAGAGGGGUGGAUGGUGGUGGAGAAGGAUGGAGAGCAGUGGAGAGGGUGGAGAGGGGUGGAGAGGGUAGAUAGUGGGAGGAGAGUGGGUGGAGAGCAGGUGGAGAGCAGAUGGAGAGAGGUGGAGAGGGUGGAGAGUGGGUGGAUUGCGGGGAGAGAGGGUGGAGAGCAGGUGGAGAGGGUAGAAAGUGGGUGGAGAGGGGUGGAUAGGAUGGAGAGGGUGGACAGUGGGUGGAGAGGGUGGAGAGGAUGGAGAGGAUGGAGAGCGGGUGGAGAGGGUAGAGAGUGGGUGGAGAGGAUGGAGAGCAGUGGAGAGUGUAGAGAGUGGGUGGAGAGAGUGGAGAGGGUGGAGAGUGGGUAGAGAGGGUGGAGAGUGGGUGGAGAGGGUGGAGGGCGGGUGGAGAUCUGUGGAGAGCAGAUGGAGAUCCGUGGACAGUGGUGGGGCUUUGAGGCCCAGAGCCUGCCCCAGGCACUCUGCCUCAGGAUCUCUGAGACUCUGCCAAAGAGAGGGGCACUCUCUGCCGGUUCUUGAGUGCUGGACAGUGAGUUGCAAUUUCCCAGGUGUAUCACUUUGAUUGGUGCGCCAGUGGGGUUUAACCUUGGGGUGUGUGAUACCACAGCAAAGCCCAGGAGGGUCCACCUUUCUGUUUUAAAAUGGGAGAAGAAGAGCCAUGAAAGGCCAGGCCAGGAGGGAUGACCAGCAGAAAGCCUGACCCGGCUCCUGUUCUUGGGCAGAUCCAUCUUGAAAAAAAACACCACAGCAGCUGAAAAGCCUGAGGCCCAUCCCUUAAGAUUAGGCCUGUCCUCCAGGAUGGCCACGCUCCUCCACCGGCACAAGCACCUGGAUCUGAGACCCACUAAACCUUGAACUAUGCACAAGAAAACACUAUGACACAGCAUUUAAAAUAAAAUCUGUAUGAGGGGCUGGGGCAGGGGCUCAGUGGUAGAGCACUCGCCUGACAUGUGUGAGGCACUGGGUUCCAUCCUCAGCACCACAUAAAUGUAAAAUAAAGAUAUUGUAUCCACCUAAAACUAAUAAAAUAAAUAUUU
Molecule: long non-coding RNA, 7734 nt
Filed under: Marmota monax (woodchuck)
Lineage: Eukaryota; Metazoa; Chordata; Mammalia; Rodentia; Sciuridae
Source: RNAcentral